Molecule: ribosomal RNA, 433 nt
Filed under: uncultured bacterium
Lineage: Bacteria
Description: partial 16S ribosomal RNA
Rfam family: Bacterial small subunit ribosomal RNA
Source: RNAcentral
GAUGAACGCUGGCGGCAUGCCUAACACAUGCAAGUCGAACGAAGGCUUCGGCCUUAUUGGCGCCCGGGUUCGUAACGCGUGGGAAUCUUCCCCUUUGUUCGGCAUAACAGUUAGAAAUGACUGCUAAUACCGGAUGAUGACGUAAGUCCAAAGAUUUAUCGCGGUGGGAUGAGCGCGCGUAGGAUUAGCUCGUUGGUGUGGUAAGAGCGCCUCACGGCGUCGAUGCUCAGCUGGUCAGAGAGGAUGGUUAGCCACACUGAGACUGGGACCCGGCCCAGACUCCUACGGAAUGGAGGAGUGGGGAAUAUUGGACAAUGGGGUAAAGCAUGAUGCAGCAAGGACGGGUGAGUGAUGUAGGCCGUAGGGAUGUAAAGUGUAUUUAACCGUGAUGAUAAUGACGGUACCGGGAGAAUAAGCUACGGCUAACUCCGUG